UUAAAGAGGUACGUGAGCUGGGUUCAAAACGUCGUGAGACAGUUUGGUCCCUAUCUUCCGUGGGCGCUGCAGAUUUGAGAAAGCCUGCUCCUAGUACGAGAGGACCGGAGUGGACGCACCCCUGGUGUACCUGUUGUCACGCCCGUGGCAUCGCAGGGUAGCUAAGUGCGGAAGAGAUAACCGCUGAAAGCAUCUAAGCGGGAAACUCGUUUCAAGAUGAGAUCUGCCGGGGCCUUGAGCCCCCUCAAGAGUCGUUCUAGACCAGGACGUUGAUAGGCUGGGUGUGCAAGGGCAGCAAUGCUCUGAGCUAACCAGUACUAAUUGCUCGUGCGGCUUGACCCU
Molecule: ribosomal RNA, 342 nt
Filed under: Pseudomonadota bacterium
Lineage: Bacteria; Pseudomonadati; Pseudomonadota
Description: Proteobacteria bacterium (activated sludge metagenome) partial 23S ribosomal RNA
Rfam family: Bacterial large subunit ribosomal RNA
Source: RNAcentral